UCCGCAGGGGGUAGAUUAAGUCUGAUGUGAAAUCCCUGAGCUUAACUCAGGAACUGCAUUGGAGACUGGUUUACUAGAGUAUCGGAGAGGAGAUUGGAAUUCCAGGUGUAGCGGUGGAAUGCGUAGAUAUCUGGAAGAACACCGAAAGCGAAGGCAGAUCUCUGGACGAUUACUGACCCUCAGGGACGAAAGCGUGGGGAGCAAACA
This 207-nucleotide ribosomal RNA is filed under the name uncultured bacterium. Its description in RNAcentral is "partial 16S ribosomal RNA". It matches the Rfam family "Bacterial small subunit ribosomal RNA", at positions 568 to 774 of the family's 1533-position model. The record is from RNAcentral.